This 500-nucleotide ribosomal RNA is filed under the name uncultured Glomeromycotina. Its description in RNAcentral is "SSU rRNA". It matches the Rfam family "Eukaryotic small subunit ribosomal RNA", at positions 591 to 1092 of the family's 1831-position model. Lineage: Eukaryota; Fungi; Glomeromycota. The record is from RNAcentral.
CCAAUAGCGUAUAUUAAAGUUGUUGCAGUUAAAAAGCUCGUAGUUGAAUUUUGGGUCUGGCCGGGCGGUCCGCCCUCCGGGUGAGUACUGUUCCGACGCCGGGCCUAUCCUUCUGGAGAGUCAGCAUGUCCUUUAUUGGGUGUGCCGGGGAACCAGGACCAUUACCUUGAAAAAAUUAGAGUGUUCAAAGCAGGCGUAUGCUCGGAUACAUUAGCAUGGAAUAAUGAAAUAGGACGCGUGGUGCUAUUUUGUUGGUUUCUAGAACCGCCGUAAUGAUUAAUAGGGAUAGUUGGGGGCAUUAGUAUUCAAUUGUCAGAGGUGAAAUUCUUGGAUUUAUUGAAGACUAACUUCUGCGAAAGCAUUUGCCAAGGAUGUUUUCAUUAAUCAAGAACGAAAGUUAGGGGAUCGAAGACGAUCAGAUACCGUCGUAGUCUUAACCAUAAACUAUGCCGACUAGGAAUCGGGCGAUGUUAUUCUCAUGACUCGCCCGGCGCCUUAUG